Molecule: ribosomal RNA, 253 nt
Filed under: uncultured bacterium
Lineage: Bacteria
Description: partial 16S ribosomal RNA
Rfam family: Bacterial small subunit ribosomal RNA
Source: RNAcentral
UACAGAGGGUGCGAGCGUUGUUCGGAAUUAUUGGGCGUAAAGGGUGCGUAGGCGGGUCUUUAAGUCAGGGGUGAAAUCCUGGAGCUCAACUCCAGAACUGCCUUUGAUACUGAAGAUCUUGAGUUCGGGAGAGGUGAGUGGAACUGCGAGUGUAGAGGUGAAAUUCGUAGAUAUUCGCAAGAACACCAGUGGCGAAGGCGGCUCACUGGCCCGAUACUGACGCUGAGGCACGAAAGCGUGGGGAGCAAACAGG